CUUAUGAAUGCACAAAACAUAAAAUGCUGACAAAUAAUGUAAAGUAUUAAUCUAAAUUGUAGGUUGUGUACGUCGUCAUACAUUUAUUUAUUGAUCGGAACGUUUUUCUUCGACUGAACCACAGUGGUUAUAGUUUAAUCAGUUCAUGUGGUUCUUACAGUGUUUUCAGUGCUGGAAUUUACGCAGGCCAAGUGGACGAAAUAGCAUAUUUCCGGUCUUAUAUUAGUUUUGCACAGUAAAGUCCUAAGGAAAUAAUUAUGUUUGUUCUUCGCCCAUUGUACGAGGCAUUUUCAGAUCUGUCGUUUGAACCCUGGCGUAUCCCUGAUGCACACAGUCCAUGGAACUGGACAAAAGAA
This is a long non-coding RNA of Mercenaria mercenaria, 356 nucleotides long. RefSeq lists it as uncharacterized. The transcript has 3 exons. Lineage: Eukaryota; Metazoa; Mollusca; Bivalvia; Venerida; Veneridae. The record is from RefSeq and is a predicted model, not a curated record.